UUAGAGUUUGAUCCUGGCUCAGGAUGAACGCUAGCGGCAGGCUUAACACAUGCAAGUCGAGGGGCAGCGAGAUCAGUGCUUGCACUGAUUGUCGGCGACCGGCGAACGGGUGCGUAACGCGUAUGCAACCUACCCAUUACAGGGGGAUAACACUGAGAAAUCGGUACUAAUACCCCAUAACAUCCAGGGAGGCAUCUUCUUGGGUUGAAAACUCCGGUGGUAAUGGAUGGGCAUGCGUUGUAUUAGUUAGUUGGUGGGGUAACGGCUCACCAAGACAACGAUACAUAGGGGGACUGAGAGGUUAACCCCCCACAUUGGUACUGAGACACGGACCAAACUCCUACGGGAGGCAGCAGUGAGGAAUAUUGGUCAAUGGACGCAAGUCUGAACCAGCCAUGCCGCGUGCAGGAAGACGGCUCUAUGAGUUGUGAACUGCUUUUGUACGAGGGUAAACGCAGAUACGCGUAUCUGUCUGAAAGUAUCGUACGAAUAAGGAUCGGCUAACUCCGUGCCAGCAGCCGCGGUAAUACGGAGGAUUCAAGCGUUAUCCGGAUUUAUUGGGUUUAAAGGGUGCGUAGGCGGUCGGAUAAGUUAGAGGUGAAAUCCCGGGGCUCAACUUCGGAAUUGCCUCUGAUACUGUUCGGCUAGAGAGUAGUUGCGGUAGGCGGAAUGUAUGGUGUAGCGGUGAAAUGCUUAGAGAUCAUACAGAACACCGAUUGCGAAGGCAGCUUACCAAGCUACUUCUGUCGUUGAGGCACGAAAGCGUGGGGAGCAAACAGGGUUAGAUACCCUGGUAGUCCACGCAGUAAACGAUGAUAAACUCGUUGUCGGCGAUACAGUGUCGGCGACUAAGCGAAAGCGAUAAGUUAUCCACCUGGGGAGUACGUUCGCAAGAAUGAAACUCAAAGGAAUUGACGGGGGCCCGCACAAGCGGAGGAACAUGUGGUUUAAUUCGAUGAUACGCGAGGAACCUUACCCGGGCUUGAAAGUUAGUGACGGAUCUUGAAAGAGGUCUUCCCUUCGGGGCACGAAACUAGGUGCUGCAUGGUUGUCGUCAGCUCGUGCCGUGAGGUGUCGGGUUAAGUCCCAUAACGAGCGCAACCCCUACCGUUAGUUGCCAGCAGGUCAAGCUGGGCACUCUGACGGGACUGCCGGUGUAAGCCGAGAGGAAGGUGGGGAUGACGUCAAAUCAGCACGGCCCUUACGUCCGGGGCUACACACGUGUUACAAUGGCAGGUACAGAGGGCAGCUACCCAGCGAUGGGAUGCGAAUCUCGAAAGCCUGUCUCAGUUCGGAUUGGAGGCUGAAACCCGCCUCCAUGAAGUUGGAUUCGCUAGUAAUCGCGCAUCAGCCAUGGCGCGGUGAAUACGUUCCCGGGCCUUGCACACACCGCCCGUCA
RNAcentral lists this ribosomal RNA (1399 nucleotides) under uncultured bacterium. RNAcentral describes it as "16S ribosomal RNA". It matches the Rfam family "Bacterial small subunit ribosomal RNA". The record is from RNAcentral.